CCUACGGGAGGCAGCAAUGAGGAAUAUUGGUCAAUGGACGCAAGUCUGAACCAGCCAUGCCGCGUGCAGGAAGACGGCUCUAUGAGUUGUAAACUGCUUUUGUACGAGGGUAAACGCAGAUACGCGUAUCUGUCUGAAAGUAUCGUACGAAUACGGAUCGGCUAACUCCGUGCCAGCAGCCGCGGCAAUACGGAGGAUACAAGCGUUAUCCGGAUUUAUUGGGUUUAAAGGGUGCGUAGGCGGUCGGAUAAGUUAGAGGUGAAAUCCCGAGGCUCAACUUCGGAAUGGCCUCUGAUACUGUUCGGAUAGAGAGUAGUUGCGGUAGGCGGAAUGUAUGGUGUAGCGGUGAAAUGCUUAGAGAUCAGACAGAACACCGAUUGCGAAGGCAGCUUACCAGGCUACUUCUGACGUUGAGGCACGAAAGCGUGGGGAGCAAACAGGAUUAGAUACCCCAGUAGUC
This 460-nucleotide ribosomal RNA is filed under the name uncultured bacterium. RNAcentral's name for it is "partial 16S ribosomal RNA". It matches the Rfam family "Bacterial small subunit ribosomal RNA", at positions 338 to 795 of the family's 1533-position model. The record is from RNAcentral.